GCCUGCGAUAGCUCAGUUGGUAGAAUGAGACUCUUAAAUCUCAGAGCUGCAGGUUUGAGCCCCGCAUUGGGCA
Podarcis lilfordi (Lilford's wall lizard) is the source of this 73-nucleotide non-coding RNA. Lineage: Eukaryota; Metazoa; Chordata; Lepidosauria; Squamata; Lacertidae. The record is from the annotation of a GenBank genome assembly.